RNAcentral lists this ribosomal RNA (490 nucleotides) under uncultured bacterium. RNAcentral describes it as "partial 16S ribosomal RNA". It matches the Rfam family "Bacterial small subunit ribosomal RNA", at positions 30 to 507 of the family's 1533-position model. The record is from RNAcentral.
AUUGAACGCUGGCGGCAGGCCUAACACAUGCAAGUCGAACGGUAACAGGAAACAGCUUGCUGUUUCGCUGACGAGUGGCGGACGGGUGAGUAAUGUCUGGGAAACUGCCUGAUGGAGGGGGAUAACUACUGGAAACGGUAGCUAAUACCGCAUAACGUCGCAAGACCAAAGAGGGGGACCUUCGGGCCUCUUGCCAUCGGAUGUGCCCAGAUGGGAUUAGCUAGUAGGUGGGGUAACGGCUCACCUAGGCGACGAUCCCUAGCUGGUCUGAGAGGAUGACCAGCCACACUGGAACUGAGACACGGUCCAGACUCCUACGGGAGGCAGCAGUGGGGAAUAUUGCACAAUGGGCGCAAGCCUGAUGCAGCCAUGCCGCGUGUAUGAAGAAGGCCUUCGGGUUGUAAAGUACUUUCAGCGGAGAGGAAGGGAGUAAAGUUAAUACCUUUGCUCAUUGACGUUACCCGCAGAAGAAGCACCGGCUAACUCCGUG